AAAGGCUUAGUUAAAUAAUAAUGAUAACUUGUCGAGUUAUAGUCACCCAAAAGGUAGCCUUUA
This 63-nucleotide transfer RNA is filed under the name Hemisodorcus sinensis. RNAcentral's name for it is "tRNA-Asp". The record is from RNAcentral. Lineage: Eukaryota; Metazoa; Arthropoda; Insecta; Coleoptera; Lucanidae.